CACGUGAUAAUACCCUUCUGAAAAACCUCAGCUGCUGACUUGAGAAGAAAACAAGGAUUUUUCUAUCUCACCAAUGGCAUUGAUGUGAGUAGUUGGAAAUAACAAACGCAACAAUGGAACUGAAGAUGAUGAAAAGACCUUGGGCUUGAUUUUCUCCAUUGCUAUCCAGAUCACAGACGGACCUGGGACUCCACACCAUCGAAGAUACCAUGAAAGAAGUACUGAAUUCCUCUCUCCUUGUUUCUCAUCACUGGGCCAUUGUGCUGAAUUCAAAUAGUUGCACAAAUCAUUCUUCAGUGCCUCCGAAGAUGUUAGGAGCUCUUCUACCUGCUUCCUAAGAGACCCUAGAAAGAUAGAUUGAACAACACCGCCUCUCGAAGUGGUCAAUCUUCCACUCAGAAGAGCCUCAUUGUAGGUUAGUGCAAGCUU
This 429-nucleotide unclassified non-coding RNA is filed under the name Hevea brasiliensis (rubber tree). Lineage: Eukaryota; Viridiplantae; Streptophyta; Magnoliopsida; Malpighiales; Euphorbiaceae. The record is from RNAcentral.